AACGAACGCUGGCGGCAUGCCUAACACAUGCAAGUCGAACGAGACCUUCGGGUCUAGUGGCGCACGGCUGCGUAACGCGUGGGAACCUGCCCUUAGGUUCGGAAUCACUCCCCGAAGGGGGUGCUAAUACCGGAUAAUGUCCUCGGACCAAAGAUUUAUCGCCUUUGGAUGGGCCCGCGUUGGAUUAGCUAGUUGGUAGGGUACAAGCCUACCAAGGCGACGAUCCAUAGCUGGUCUGAGAGGAUGAUCAGCCACACUGGGACUGAGACACGGCCCAGACUCCUACGGGAGGCAGCAGUGGGGAAUAGUGGACAAUGGGCGAAAGCCUGAUCCAGCAAUGCCGCGUGAGUGAUGAAGGCGUUAGGGUUGUAAAGCUCUUUUACACGGGAUGAUAAUGACAGUACCGGGAGAAUAAGCACCGGCUAACUACGUG
RNAcentral lists this ribosomal RNA (433 nucleotides) under uncultured bacterium. Its description in RNAcentral is "partial 16S ribosomal RNA". It matches the Rfam family "Bacterial small subunit ribosomal RNA", at positions 29 to 507 of the family's 1533-position model. The record is from RNAcentral.